GAUGAACGCUGGCGGCGUGCCUAACACAUGCAAGUCAAGGAGAAGGUAACCUUCGGGGAACCGGAUACUGGCGCACGGGUGAGUAACACGUGGAUUAUCUACCCUUUACACAGACAUAACUCAGGGAAACUUGAGCUAAUAUCUGAUGAGGCCUCCGGGUCAAAGCUUCGGCGGUAAAGGAUGAGUCUGCGUCUGAUUAGCUAGUUGGUAAGGUAAUGGCUUACCAAGGCGACGAUCAGUAACUGGUCUGAGAGGACGAUCAGUCACACUGGAACUGAGACACGGUCCAGUCUCCUACGGGAGGCAGCAGUGAGGAAUUUUGGACAAUGGGGGAAACCCUGAUCCAGCGACGCCGCGUGUGGGAUGAAUGGGUUAUGCCCUGUAAACCACUGUCAGCAGAGAAGAAAAGGUUCCUUUGGAACCCGGGACUGUAUCUGCAGAGGAAGGACCGGCUAACUACGUG
This 463-nucleotide ribosomal RNA is filed under the name uncultured bacterium. RNAcentral's name for it is "bacterial SSU rRNA". It matches the Rfam family "Bacterial small subunit ribosomal RNA", at positions 28 to 507 of the family's 1533-position model. The record is from RNAcentral.